ACGAAUGCGGCUGAAGUGGCUCCCUGUCAGGCUCAGGAGACGUCGUGGCGGCCGGCUGGCGGCCCGACGACUCUGCACUUCUGCGGGGAGCCGGCCAACGGCAGUCGUUCCCGGCCCAGGAGGGCGYCGUGGGUAGGUGACUCCGCGUUCGCGCGGGGAGCUUAUAGCCCGGCGCCUGGACGUUCCGGGGGCGACUGAGGAGAGUUGCGAGUUUCGCACGUUGCAGCGCAGGCCCCCUAGGGGCUGGGCCGCUUCCUGCUCGGCUGGCUUCCGGGGUGGCCACUGCGUGCAGUGGUCGCCGACGGCUCUUGCCUGGUCGGGCGGAUGGUCGGUCGCACCUU
Molecule: unclassified non-coding RNA, 341 nt
Filed under: Demospongiae sp. GW41346
Lineage: Eukaryota; Metazoa; Porifera; Demospongiae
Description: sequence contains 28S rRNA gene
Source: RNAcentral